GGACCGCUAGCUCAACUGGCAGAGCAACUGACUCUUAAUCAGUAGGUUCGGGGUUCGAUUCCCCGGCGGUUCACCA
This 76-nucleotide transfer RNA is filed under the name Acidobacteriota bacterium. Its description in RNAcentral is "Acidobacteria bacterium tRNA-Lys". It matches the Rfam family "tRNA". Rfam says of the family: Transfer RNA (tRNA) molecules are approximately 80 nucleotides in length. The record is from RNAcentral. Lineage: Bacteria; Pseudomonadati; Acidobacteriota.